GGCGGUGCUAUACAUGCAGUCGAGCGGACAGAAGGGAGCUUGCUCCCGGAUGUUAGCGGCGGACGGGUGAGUAACACGUGGGUAACCUGCCUGUAAGACUGGGAUAACUCCGGGAAACCGGAGCUAAUACCGGAUAGUUCCUUGAACCGCAUGGUUCAAGGAUGAAAGACGGUUUCGGCUGUCACUUACAGAUGGACCCGCGGCGCAUUAGCUAGUUGGUGAGGUAACGGCUCACCAAGGCGACGAUGCGUAGCCGACCUGAGAGGGUGAUCGGCCACACUGGGACUGAGACACGGCCCAGACUCCUACGGGAGGCAGCAGUAGGGAAUCUUCCGCAAUGGACGAAAGUCUGACGGAGCAACGCCGCGUGAGUGAUGAAGGUUUUCGGAUCGUAAAGCUCUGUUGUUAGGGAAGAACAAGUGCAAGAGUAACUGCUUGCACCUUGACGGUACCUAACCAGAAAGCCACGGCUAACUACGUGCCAGCAGCCGCGGUAAUACGUAGGUGGCAAGCGUUGUCCGGGAAUUAUUGGGCGUAAAGGGCUCGCAGGCGGUUUCUUAAGUCUGAUGUGAAAGCCCCCGGCUCAACCGGGGAGGGUCAUUGGAAACUGGGAAACUUGAGUGCAGAAGAGGAGAGUGGAAUUCCACGUGUAGCGGUGAAAUGCGUAGAGAUGUGGAGGAACACCAGUGGCGAAGGCGACUCUCUGGUCUGUAACUGACGCUGAGGAGCGAAAGCGUGGGGAGCGAACAGGAUUAGAUACCCUGGUAGUCCACGCCGUAAACGAUGAGUGCUAAGUGUUAGGGGGUUUCCGCCCCUUAGUGCUGCAGCUAACGCAUUAAGCACUCCGCCUGGGGAGUACGGUCGCAAGACUGAAACUCAAAGGAAUUGACGGGGGCCCGCACAAGCGGUGGAGCAUGUGGUUUAAUUUCGAAGCAACGCGAAGAACCUUACCAGGUCUUGACAUCCUCUGACAACCCUAGAGAUAGGGCUUUCCCUUCGGGGACAGAGUGACAGGUGGUGCAUGGAUGUCGUCAGCUCGUGUCGUGAAGAUGUUGGGUUAAGUCCCGCAACGAGCGCAACCCUUGAUCUUAGUUGCCAGCAUUCAGUUGGGCACUCUAAGGUGACUGCCGGUGACAAACCGGAGGAAGGUGGGGAUGACGUCAAAUCAUCAUGCCCCUUAUGACCUGGGCUACACACGUGCUACAAUGGACAGAACAAAGGGCUGCGAGACCGCAAGGUUUAGCCAAUCCCACAAAUCUGUUCUCAGUUCGGAUCGCAGUCUGCAACUCGACUGCGUGAAGCUGGAAUCGCUAGUAAUCGCGGAUCAGCAUGCCGCGGUGAAUACGUUCCCGGGCCUUGUACACACCGCCCGUCACACCACGAGAGUUUGCAACACCCGAAGUCGGUGAGGUAACCUUUAUGGAGCCAGCCGCCGAAGGUGUCAG
Molecule: ribosomal RNA, 1445 nt
Filed under: Bacillus altitudinis
Lineage: Bacteria; Bacillati; Bacillota; Bacilli; Caryophanales; Bacillaceae
Description: bacterial SSU rRNA
Rfam family: Bacterial small subunit ribosomal RNA
Source: RNAcentral